Molecule: non-coding RNA, 72 nt
Organism: Phrynosoma platyrhinos (Desert horned lizard)
Lineage: Eukaryota; Metazoa; Chordata; Lepidosauria; Squamata; Phrynosomatidae
Source: the annotation of a GenBank genome assembly
GCCUGUGUGGUGUAAUGGUUUGAGUGUUGAACUAGGGUUCUGGAGACCAGGGUUCAGAUCCCAGCUUGGACA